This 497-nucleotide ribosomal RNA is filed under the name uncultured bacterium. Its description in RNAcentral is "partial 16S ribosomal RNA". It matches the Rfam family "Bacterial small subunit ribosomal RNA", at positions 28 to 507 of the family's 1533-position model. The record is from RNAcentral.
GAUGAACGCUGGCGGCGUGCCUAAUACAUGCAAGUCGAGCGAACGGACGAGAAGCUUGCUUUUCUGAUGUUAGCGGCGGACGGGUGAGUAACACGUGGAUAACCUACCUAUAAGACUGGGAUAACUUCGGGAAACCGGAGCUAAUACCGGAUAAUAUUUUGAACCGCAUGGUUCAAAAGUGAAAGACGGUCUUGCUGUCACUUAUAGAUGGAUCCGCGCUGCAUUAGCUAGUUGGUAAGGUAACGCCUUACCAAGGCAACGAUGCAUAGCCGACCUGAGAGGGUGAUCGGCCACACUGGAACUGAGACACGGUCCAGACUCCUACGGGAGGCAGCAGUAGGGAAUCUUCCGCAAUGGGCGAAAGCCUGACGAAGCAACGCCGCGUGAGUGAUGAAGGUCUUCGGAUCGUAAAACUCUGUUAUUAGGGAAGAACAUAUGUGUAAGUAACUGUGCACAUCUUGACGGUACCUAAUCAGAAAGCCACGGCUAACUACGUG